This 449-nucleotide ribosomal RNA is filed under the name uncultured bacterium. RNAcentral describes it as "partial 16S ribosomal RNA". It matches the Rfam family "Bacterial small subunit ribosomal RNA", at positions 29 to 523 of the family's 1533-position model. The record is from RNAcentral.
AGCGAACGCUGGCGGCAGGCCUAACACAUGCAAGUCGAACGAAGUCUUCGGACUUAGUGGCGGACGGGUGAGCAACACGUGGGAACGCGCCUUUAGGUUCGGAAUAACUCAGGGAAACUUGUGCUAAUACCGAAUGUGCCCUUCGGGGGAAAGAUUUAUCGCCUUUAGAGCGGCCCGCGUCUGAUUAGCUAGUUGGUGAGGUAAAGGCUCACCAAGGCGACGAUCAGUAGCUGGUCUGAGAGGAUGAUCAGCCACAUUGGGACUGAGACACGGCCCAAACUCCUACGGGAGGCAGCAGUGGGGAAUCUUGCGCAAUGGGCGAAAGCCUGACGCAGCCAUGCCGCGUGAAUGAUGAAGGUCUUAGGAUUGUAAAAUUCUUUCCCCGGGGACGAUAAUGACGGUACCCGGAGAAGAAGCCCCGGCUAACUUCGUGCCAGCCGCCGCCGUAA